Molecule: ribosomal RNA, 2881 nt
Filed under: Xanthomonas euroxanthea
Lineage: Bacteria; Pseudomonadati; Pseudomonadota; Gammaproteobacteria; Lysobacterales; Lysobacteraceae
Description: 23S ribosomal RNA
Rfam family: Bacterial large subunit ribosomal RNA
Source: RNAcentral
GGUCAAGCGAAUAAGCGCACACGGUGGAUGCCUAGGCGGUCAGAGGCGAUGAAGGACGUGGUAGCCUGCGAAAAGUGUCGGGGAGCUGGCAACAAGCUUUGAUCCGGCAAUGUCCGAAUGGGGAAACCCACUGCUUCGGCAGUAUCCUGCAGUGAAUUCAUAGCUGCUGGAAGCGAACCCGGUGAACUGAAAUAUCUAAGUAACCGGAGGAAAAGAAAUCAACCGAGAUUCCCUAAGUAGUGACGAGCGAACGGGGAGCAGCCCUUAAGCUGGAAUGGCUUUAGAAAAACAAUCUGGAAAGAUUGGCCAUAGAAGGUGAUAGCCCUGUAUUUAAAAGGGCCACUCCAGUGAAGACGAGUAGGGCGGGGCACGUGAAACCCUGUCUGAAUAUGGGGGGACCAUCCUCCAAGGCUAAAUACUCCUGACCGACCGAUAGUGAACCAGUACCGUGAGGGAAAGGCGAAAAGAACCCCGGAGAGGGGAGUGAAAUAGAUCCUGAAACCGUGUGCGUACAAGCAGUAGGAGCUCGCAAGAGUGACUGCGUACCUUUUGUAUAAUGGGUCAGCGACUUACUGUUCGUGGCAAGCUUAACCGUAUAGGGGAGGCGAAGGGAAACCGAGUCUGAUAAGGGCGCAUAGUCGCGGGCAGUAGACCCGAAACCGGGUGAUCUAGUCAUGGCCAGGGUGAAGGUGCCGUAACAGGUACUGGAGGCCCGAACCCACGUCUGUUGCAAAAGACGGGGAUGAGCUGUGAUUAGGAGUGAAAAGCUAAUCGAACCCGGAGAUAGCUGGUUCUCCUCGAAAGCUAUUUAGGUAGCGCCUCGGACGAAUACUACUGGGGGUAGAGCACUGUUAUGGCUAGGGGGUCAUCGCGACUUACCAAACCAUUGCAAACUCCGAAUACCAGUACGUACUAUCCGGGAGACACACGGCGGGUGCUAACGUCCGUCGUGAAAAGGGAAACAACCCAGACCCACAGCUAAGGUCCCAAAUUUACUGCUAAGUGGAAAACGAUGUGGAAAGGCAUAGACAGCCAGGAGGUUGGCUUAGAAGCAGCCACCCUUUAAAGAAAGCGUAAUAGCUCACUGGUCGAGUCGGUCUGCGCGGAAGAUUUAACGGGGCUAAGCAGUGAACCGAAGCUUGGGGUGCAUAAAACUUGUUUUAUGCGCGGUAGAGGAGCGUUCCGUAAGCCUGCGAAGGUGGAUUGAGAAGUCUGCUGGAGGUAUCGGAAGUGCGAAUGCUGACAUGAGUAACGAUAAUGCGGGUGAAAAGCCCGCACGCCGAAAGCCCAAGGUUUCCUUGCGCAACGUUAAUCGACGCAGGGUUAGUCGGUCCCUAAGGCGAGGGCGAAAGCCGUAGUCGAUGGGAAGCAGGUUAAUAUUCCUGCACCUCGCGUGAGUGCGAUGGAGGGACGGAGAAGGUUAGGUGUACCGGGCGUUGGUUGUCCCGGGGAAAGGCGGUAGGUUUGGAUCUUUGGCAAAUCCGGGAUCCUUUAAGACCGAGCACCGAGACGAGCCUUUAUGGCAAAGUCACUGAUACCACGCUUCCAGGAAAAGCUCCUAAGCUUCAGCUCACGAAGACCGUACCGUAAACCGACACAGGUGGGUAGGAUGAGAAUUCUCAGGCGCUUGAGAGAACUCGGGUGAAGGAACUAGGCAACAUGGCACCGUAACUUCGGGAGAAGGUGCACCCUUUUUGGUGGCUCAUGCGAGCUAUAGCUGAAGAGGGUCGCAGAAACCAGGCCGCUGCGACUGUUUAUCAAAAACACAGCACUCUGCAAACACGAAAGUGGACGUAUAGGGUGUGACGCCUGCCCGGUGCUGGAAGGUUAAUUGAUGGGGUCAGCCGCAAGGCGAAGCUCUUGAUCGAAGCCCCAGUAAACGGCGGCCGUAACUAUAACGGUCCUAAGGUAGCGAAAUUCCUUGUCGGGUAAGUUCCGACCUGCACGAAUGGCGUAACGACAGCGGCGCUGUCUCCACCCGAGACUCAGUGAAAUUGAAAUCGCUGUGAAGAUGCAGCGUUCCCGUGGCAAGACGGAAAGACCCCGUGAACCUUUACUAUAGCUUUACACUGAACGUUGAGUUCGUCUGUGUAGGAUAGGUGGGAGGCUAUGAAACUGUGGCGCUAGCUGCAGUGGAGCCAUCCUUGAAAUACCACCCUGUCGUGCUUGACGUUCUAACCUAGAUCCGUUAUCCGGAUCAGGGACCGUGUAUGGUGGGUAGUUUGACUGGGGCGGUCUCCUCCUAAAGAGUAACGGAGGAGCACGAAGGUACGCUCAGCGCGGUCGGACAUCGCGCACUGUGUGCAAAGGCAUAAGCGUGCUUGACUGCAAGAUCGACGGAUCAAGCAGGUACGAAAGUAGGUCUUAGUGAUCCGGUGGUUCUGUAUGGAAGGGCCAUCGCUCAACGGAUAAAAGGUACUCCGGGGAUAACAGGCUGAUACCGCCCAAGAGUUCAUAUCGACGGCGGUGUUUGGCACCUCGAUGUCGGCUCAUCACAUCCUGGGGCUGUAGUCGGUCCCAAGGGUAUGGCUGUUCGCCAUUUAAAGUGGUACGCGAGCUGGGUUCAGAACGUCGUGAGACAGUUCGGUCCCUAUCUGCCAUGGGCGUUGGAAGUUUGAGAGGGGCUGCUCCUAGUACGAGAGGACCGGAGUGGACGAACCUCUGGUGUUCCGGUUGUCACGCCAGUGGCAUUGCCGGGUAGCUAUGUUCGGAAGCGAUAACCGCUGAAAGCAUCUAAGCGGGAAGCGCGCCUCAAGAUGAGACUUCCCGGGGCACAAGCCCCCUAAAGGAACCAUAUAGACUAUGUGGUUGAUAGGUCAGGUGUGUAAGUACAGCAAUGUAUUGAGCUAACUGAUACUAAUGAUCCGUGCGGCUUGACCAU